AGUUACGUUAAGUAGAAAGGGUAAGCACUUAAGGUGUGGGGCCGUAGCGAAAGCGAGUUUUAACUGAGCGUUCAGUGUCUGGACGUAGACCCGAAACCGGGCGACCUACGCAGGAGCAGGAUGAAGCGAAAGUAAAAUUUCGGGGAGGUCCGAACCCACGGGCGGUGAAAAGCUCGGGGAUGACUUGUGGGUAGCGGUGAAAUUCCAAGCGAGCCCGGAGAUAGCUGGUUCUCCCCGAAAUAGCUUUAGGGCUAGCCUAAAGGUGAGAGAUGCGGAGGUAGAGCACUGAAUGUCCUAGGGGGUAUGGCACCUACCGAAGACUAUCAAACUCCGAAGGCCGUCAUCUUAUACUUGGGAGUCAGACUGUGGGUGAUAAGAUUCAUAGUCGAAAGGGCAACAGCCCAGAUCGGCAGCGAAGGUCCCUAAAUGUAAGUUAAGUGGUAAAGGAUGUGGGAUUGCAC
Molecule: ribosomal RNA, 461 nt
Filed under: Clostridioides difficile
Lineage: Bacteria; Bacillati; Bacillota; Clostridia; Peptostreptococcales; Peptostreptococcaceae
Description: bacterial LSU rRNA
Rfam family: Bacterial large subunit ribosomal RNA
Source: RNAcentral